RNAcentral lists this ribosomal RNA (428 nucleotides) under uncultured bacterium. RNAcentral describes it as "partial 16S ribosomal RNA". It matches the Rfam family "Bacterial small subunit ribosomal RNA", at positions 354 to 796 of the family's 1533-position model. The record is from RNAcentral.
GUCGAGAAUUUUUCACAAUGGGGGAAACCCUGAUGGAGCGACGCCGCGUGGAGGAUGAAGGCCCUCGGGUUGUAAACUCCUGUCAUGCGGGAACAAGAAAGUGAUAGUACCGCAAGAGGAAGAGACGGCUAACUCUGUGCCAGCAGCCGCGGUAAUACAGAGGUCUCAAGCGUUGUUCGGAUUCAUUGGGCGUAAAGGGUGCGUAGGUGGCGAUGCAAGUCUGGUGUGAAAUCUCGGAGCUCAACUCCGAAAUUGCACCGGAUACUGCGUUGCUAGAGGAUUGUAGAGGAGAGUGGAAUUCACGGUGUAGCAGUGAAAUGCGUAGAUAUCGUGAGGAAGACCAGUUGCGAAGGCGACUCUCUGGGCAAUUCCUGACACUGAGGCACGAAGGCCAGGGGAGCAAACGGGAUUAGAAACCCGAGUAGUCC